UACGAGGGGGGCGAGCGUUGUUCGGAAUUACUGGGCGUAAAGGGCGCGUAGGCGGCACGGCAAGUCAGGAGUGAAAGGCCUGGGCUCAACCGAGGAACUGCUUUUGAGACUGCCGAGCUAGAGUGCAGAAGGGGCAACUGGAAUUCCCAGUGUAGCGGUGAAAUGCGUAGAUAUUGGGAAGAACACCUGAGGCGAAGGCGGGUUGCUGGGCUGACACUGACGCUGAGGCGCGAAAGCCAGGGGAGCAAACGGG
This 253-nucleotide ribosomal RNA is filed under the name uncultured bacterium. RNAcentral's name for it is "partial 16S ribosomal RNA". It matches the Rfam family "Bacterial small subunit ribosomal RNA", at positions 524 to 776 of the family's 1533-position model. The record is from RNAcentral.